AAGCUCGUAGUUGAAUUUCGGGAUCAGUUUGUUGGUCGUGCUUCGGUACGUACUGUCAUUACUGGUUUCUCCCUUCUGAAGAACCUUGAUGUCAUUAAUUAGGUGUCUUGGGGAAUCAGGACUGUUACUUUGAAAAAAUUAGAGUGUUUAAAGCAAGCAUACGCUUGAAUACAUUAGCAUGGAAUAAUGAAAUAGGACGUUUGAUUCUAUUUUGUUGGUUUCUAGGAUCGACGUAAUGAUUAAUAGGGAUAGUUGGG
Molecule: ribosomal RNA, 257 nt
Filed under: uncultured Glomeromycotina
Lineage: Eukaryota; Fungi; Glomeromycota
Description: partial 18S ribosomal RNA
Rfam family: Eukaryotic small subunit ribosomal RNA
Source: RNAcentral